GCGCAGCAGGCGAGAAAACUUCACACUGUGCGAAAGCACGAUGAGGGAAUCCCAAGUGCUUGCACGUAAGUGUAAGCUGUUUCUCUGUUUAAAACGCAGAGAGAGUAAGGGCUGGGUAAGACGGGUGCCAGCCGCCGCGGUAAUACCUGCAGCUCAAGUGGUGACCGUUAUUAUUGGGCCUAAAACGUCCGUAGCCGGUUUAAUAAAUGCCUGGGUAAAUCGUGUAGCUUAACUAUACGAAUUCCGGGUAGACUGUUAAACUCGAGACCGGGAGAAGUUAGAGGUACUCCUGGGGUAGAGGUGAAAUUCUGUAAUCCUAGGGGGACCACCAGUGGCGAAGGCGUCUAACUAGAACGGGUCUGACGGUGAGGGACGAAGCCCUGGGGCGCAAACGGGAUUAGAUACCCGUGUAGU
RNAcentral lists this ribosomal RNA (414 nucleotides) under uncultured microorganism. RNAcentral describes it as "bacterial SSU rRNA". It matches the Rfam family "Archaeal small subunit ribosomal RNA", at positions 330 to 745 of the family's 1478-position model. The record is from RNAcentral.